UACGUAGGGUGCGAGCGUUGUCCGGAAUUAUUGGGCGUAAAGGGCUCGUAGGCGGUUUGUCGCGUCGGGAGUGAAAACCCAGGGCUUAACCCUGGGCUGGCUUCCGAUACGGGCAGACUAGAGGUAUGCAGGGGAGAACGGAAUUCCUGGUGUAGCGGUGAAAUGCGCAGAUAUCAGGAGGAACACCGGUGGCGAAGGCGGGUCUCUGGGCCGUAACUGACGCUGAGGAGCGAAAGCGUGGGGAGCGAACAGG
RNAcentral lists this ribosomal RNA (253 nucleotides) under uncultured bacterium. Its description in RNAcentral is "partial 16S ribosomal RNA". It matches the Rfam family "Bacterial small subunit ribosomal RNA", at positions 524 to 776 of the family's 1533-position model. The record is from RNAcentral.